ACGUCAAGUCAUCAUGGCCUUACGGGUAGGGCUACACACGUGCUACAAUGGCCGGUACAAAGGGCGGCGAGCUCGCGAGAGUCAGCGAAUCCCUUAAAGCCGGUCUCAGUCCGGAUCGGAGUCUGCAACUCGACUCCGUGAAGUCGGAAUCGCUAGUAAUCGUGAAUCAGAAUGUCACGGUGAAUACGUUCCCGGGCCUU
RNAcentral lists this ribosomal RNA (200 nucleotides) under uncultured Halomonas sp. RNAcentral describes it as "partial 16S ribosomal RNA". It matches the Rfam family "Bacterial small subunit ribosomal RNA", at positions 1182 to 1382 of the family's 1533-position model. Lineage: Bacteria; Pseudomonadati; Pseudomonadota; Gammaproteobacteria; Oceanospirillales; Halomonadaceae. The record is from RNAcentral.